Molecule: long non-coding RNA, 1395 nt
Filed under: Ananas comosus (pineapple)
Lineage: Eukaryota; Viridiplantae; Streptophyta; Magnoliopsida; Poales; Bromeliaceae
Description: long non-coding RNA (ACOM_LNC008366)
Source: RNAcentral
GGACAAAAGAAAACGGGGAUUCAUUAGAGUUUAUAGAUAUAUAAAUAGAAUUAGACUGGAAUACUAUUAAUAGUAAAACCCUUUUUUUGCCAUCAAGUUUUUAACCUUUGGAUGAAAAAUUGUAGGGUUAGGAUGAUAUUAGUCAGUUAGAGUUGAGUGGUCCCCCUAGGGUUGAGUGUUCCCCACUGGGUUAUAGUAUUUAAUCCAAUGGUUAGAAAUGAUGAAAAGAGUUGAUCCAAAGGCUAAAAAACUAGUAGCAACAAUGGGAUUUUGCUACUAAUAGUAGCCCAGUCCAACUCUCUCUCUCUCUCUCUCUCUCUCUCUCUCUCUCUCUCUCUCUAUAUAUAUAUAUAUAUAUAGCAUAAUUCUACCUACUAUACUAUCGAUAGUACCAAGCCCUUGGUACUAUUGAGUUUUCUACCGUUAGAUCUACCUUUUGAUCAUUUCCACCCGUUAGAUUAUACUAUUAAACCAACCACCAACUCAACCCUAGGGGACGACUAUCAUCCUAACUGCACAUCCUUUUAUCCAACGGCCAAAAACUCGAUAGUACCAAAGGCUUGAUACUAUUGAUAGUAUAGUAGCAUAAUUCUAUAUAUAUAUAUAGAGUGAGGCUACUAUGCUAUCGGAAGCACGAAGCCUUCCGUGCUUCCAGCUCGUUUUCGAUGUUGCGACUUUCGAAUUGUCGAUCGGCUCCGUUAUACUUGAUUUAGAGUAUUUGGAGUACCUAGAAAAUAAAUUUUAUUAUUUUUCGAUAUCAUUUGCCUAGUAGUCGAAUGGGCUCAAAAUCAACAAAUUUGAAUGGCUGAAGUGAGCCGUUUGUAAGUUUAACGAUGUAGAAAUAUUCAAAUCACGUGAAAUUUUGAUAGAAAAUUCUUUAUACUAUAUAAAACAAGAUCAAUAUUUUUGAUUUAAAAUUUUAAUAUCAUAUUAUUAUAUUUUGUAAGAUUUUUAUUUUCAGCCGUUGAUUUUGACCCACUUCGAUCACUAGGCAAAUGAUAUUAAAAAAUCGCAAAAUUUAUUUUCUAGAUACUUAAAAUAUUCUAGAUCAAGUCUGACAGAGCUGAUCGUCGAUUCAAAAGUCCCAACAUCGAAAAUAACUUAGAAGCACGGAGCACUCCGUGCAUCCAGAAGCAUACUAGACGCACUAUAUAUAUAUAUAUAUAUAGAGUCCGGCUACUAUGCUAUUAAUAGCACGAAGCACUUGGUGCUACCAAUUUUUCCGCCGUUAGAUCUACCCUUUUGAUCAUUUUCACCCGUUAUAUCAUACUAUUCAACCAACCACCCACUCAACCCUACGGGACCCACAUCAUCCUAACCACACUUCUCUUAAUCCAAUGGCCAAAAAUUUGGUAGCACCAAUGACUUUGUGCUAUUAAUAGCAUAGUUCUAUAU